UUCUCCUAUUGGGAGAGUCCCACAUCGCCCAUGCUUGCUCACUGCCCUCGCAAUUUGUCCUAUAAAACCCACAUUCCCCUACUCAGUAAGCCAUAUCUUGUUCGCCCUUUGGGCUAUGAUCAAGUGAAGUAUGUGUUGAGUUUUCUCAACAUAUUUAAGUAUUUUUUAGUAUUAUGUGGUGAUAUUAUCGAUAAUUUCAAAAAUAUCGUAAUAUUAUUGAUAUUAUUGAUAAUAUCUUGAUAUUUUGACAAAAAUUAUUUGGAUAGUUAAAAAAAUAUCCGAUCUCCAAAAAAAUGAUAAUAUCGAGGAUAUUUCGCCGAUAUUAUUGAUUUUUUCUUCCAUGGUUAUAACCUAAAAGUUAAAAUUAGGUUGUUCAUAUUUGACACUAAUCUGACUCGUUUCUUAAUAUAAUAGUGAAAUCAUAUCAUAUUUGUGUUUAUGUCAAGUAAUGUUGGACACGCAUACUAACAAAUCAUAUCAUAUUCGUGUUUAUGUCAAGUAACAAAAAACGCAAACCCUGCUAACUUCGUGUUGGAUUUAACAAUUCAUUCCUAACUGUUCCUCUUCCAACAAAUGCAAAAAUGCAAAAUACAAGUGGUUGACCAAAAAUAAUUCUAAUUCCAAAAAACCCCACAUCCCCACAGAAAAAACACGACCCCCCAAACACUGGAUAUUUUAGUGCCCUAUUCACCUGCAAUCCCACAAAUCAAUUAACCACAAGUCCUACUGCACC
Molecule: long non-coding RNA, 733 nt
Filed under: Malus domestica (apple)
Lineage: Eukaryota; Viridiplantae; Streptophyta; Magnoliopsida; Rosales; Rosaceae
Description: long non-coding RNA (MDOM_LNC019208)
Source: RNAcentral